GAAUUGCCAAGACAAAUCGAAGGCACGGGAGUAGAAGUAUGGAAGGUAGUCAUAUUCAUCGAUGGACUUCCCUUGCUCGUUGGCAUAUAUCGCCUGCACCAGCAACAACGUAACAUUAACAUUUACUAUCAUGACUCAUGAGACCAGUGAAGAAUAACAUGUUAUAAUCAGGAUGACAGUAUAACGCUUUCAUGUUAACUCUCGACAGCAUCAGGGAGCCGUCGCUUACCUUGACAGCCUGCUCAGCAGAUUUGCGAGAAUGAUCAACAUGUUCAACUCUUCUAACAUCGUUGUACAUUUUCAUCGGGAAAGUGGCAACAUCACCUACAGCGUACACAUCAGGUGCACUUGUUUUGAAGAAAGCAUUUGUCUGCAAAACAGAAGCCUCGGCAUAAGUACUGAAAUUCAGUAAGUUCGAAUGGAACAUGACACAACGCGCUGUAAUUUUGAUAGAAACUAGCAACAGACAGCUUAUAUCUCUGACGAGAACACAGCUUUGGUCGGACAAGAAAACUAUGUUGUUUCCUUAUCGACAAGUUCGAGGAUUUCCGGUUUUAUUAGAACGAUGAGUACUGAACAGCGAGCACACACCUUAAUUCCUCUUAUAUCGGUUUCAACUUGCCCUUCGAAUAGACUGGUGAGUGGUAUUGCUCCGACUCCUACGACUACUAUGUCAGCUUCCAAAACUCUGCCGUCUUUAAGUUUGACCGCCUUCACCUGCAAAAUGGAAACAAGAAUGCGGUGAGGUAAUGCGCUAAAGCUCAACGAGAUUUCUCAAAAUGGUGCAGUCUUUAGAAAAACCUCUCCAUUUGGAUGGGUAUCGAAUCCAACAGCCGUUGUACCCUGAUCAUAUUGACGCCCUUUUUCUUGUAGUAACCUUCAUAGAAUGCAGCUAUGCCCUCGGUGAAAAGCCGAGGUACUGCAAAAAGCAAAAGGACUAUCAUGAAACAGUUCAACGUUGCAUGCUAUGCGUACAGUGUGGGAACUAGAAGAAAUUUACUUACUGCACCAUGGUUCUGGAUAAACCAUAUCGACUUCAAUAUUGUUCAUUCUCAGUACAGCAGUAAGCUCGAGACCGAUUUACCCUCCUCCAACAACUACGGCCUUUGCAUUUUUGUUAGCUUUUAAUGCUUCCACAAUAUUAUCCGCGUCAUUGAUUUCUCUCAAGUAGAAUAUGUUCUUGGAAUCGGCACCUUGUACACCAAAAUCUGACAACUUCAAAACCUGAACAGACACGGAACAAGAAAUGUUCAUGUAAUGACAUAUGACAAAAAGUAAAAAUAUACAACACAACCAAAUUUCCAAGAGACUCACAGUGGAUCCAGUCGCGAUAACAAGUUUUUCAUAUUUAAAAGAUUCCCCGGCUGCACUAACAAGAGUCUUUGAAGCAAGAUCCGCUUUCACUAUAUAGGUACUCAGGAUCAACGAUAUGUCUGCAAGAAGAGAUCAUAUGAUUCAUAAGAGAUGUGUCUUCAACGAGAUAUACCACUAUAUGUAAAGGUAGCUCGUGAGGGGAGGAUUGCCAAGACCAUAUAAGGAGACCAAGGACCCUUUAACCAACCGAUGUGAGACUCCAACCCCUCCCCCCCCACCCUGCAUACCAAGGACUGGACAUCUGGCGCGUGGACAAUAUAAGAUAGGGGACCCAACAACGAAAACGAUGAAUUGGGUGGGGCUGACUCUGAUACCAUGUUAAAGAAUGGAUCUCGAGCCUAACUCAACCUCAAAAGCUAGCUCAUGAGGGGAGGAUUACCCAAGACCAUACAAGGAGACCAAAGACCCUUUAACCCACCGAUGCGAGACUCCAACAAAGUCGACAGAAGUCACGCUUGACCAUAUGUCUGCAUAUUAUUACCUUCCAACACAUUCACGAAAAAUUAUUGCCUGCAAGAAAACACAACAAAAUUAUUACCUUUCUCUGCAUACCACUCGGGAAGCUGUUUCUCUCCUCCACUUCCAACGCACACAUGAAACCCUGGGAGUCUAGCAGCUCCUGGUAGAUAAAUGGAAUAUCAAAAUCGAGUAAAGCACAUUUUCAGAUGUGUAACACAUCUUUUACUCAAGUCCGCCUCCAUACGACCAUACACUAAAGUCGAAAUUAACUAUCCAAGUAGAAAGAAGACUUGCCUUCAGGGAAAAGGUAUGCCUUGCUAAGUGCGGGGCGUUCAUAAGGAGCCACCUGAGGUAGAAAAAAGAUACAUUUUUCGCAAUAUGAUCAAAUCUAACACUAUUUUUCUGAAAGACGGAAAGAUUGUUAGAUACGAAGUUGCAAAUAUUCCAACCCGAGAGGAUUAGUAUCGUGAUUGGAACUCAUUUCGCAAAGAAUACUUACCGCUUCUUUGGAAAUAAUAGCCAGUUCCCCAGGCUUAACUCCCUGCUUUGCGAAUUCUCUAGCGGCAUACCCCUGCGAAUGCAACCAAACUUGUUCAAUUCAUUUAUGACCACAAAAAAAGGCAGUCCGGUGCACUAAAGCUACCGCUAUGCGCGGUGUCCGGGGAAGGGUCCCACCACAAGGGUGUAUCGUAUGCAGCCUUACCUUGCAUUUCUGGCCAGAGGCUGUUUCCAAGGCUUGAACCCGUGACCUCCUAGUCACAUGACAGUAACUUUACUAGUUACGACCACAAAUUCAAAAAUCUGAAUAGCCAUACAUAUUAUAUCUGAAAGAAUCCGAAUCAUAUAUUAUCUCAUAUAAGAAGCUAACUGGUUAAACGCUUCACGAGGAAUGCCAAAUUAGGAAACUUAUAUGCCAAUUCCAUUUCGACAGCAAACAAAAAUAGUGAAAGAGAUGAGCUUACCUACAACGAAACUCUAGCAAACACGCGCGCACACACACACAACUCGUAUGUAUACGAGCAUAUGUGUCUGUUUGUAUCCAACCAAUCAAAGACAUCUACUAUUUCUAAGCAACGACAACAACAACAUACGCAGUGAAAUCCCACAAAGUGUAGUCCGAGGAGGAUAUAGAGGUUGUUUCCGAAAGACUACUAUUGCUAAGCCAAACGACAAGAUAGAGUUAUGACAUGAUCUCUUGUUCUCAGUAUCUACGCAAGGCAACUCGUAGGUUCUACAUUUUCAAAUUGCUUUGUACUCGAAGCUUCCCGCUCCAUUUCGAAGCAACUCAUUUCAACAGCAAACAAAAUAGCGAAAGAGAUAAAGCUUAUCUACAACAAAUUCUAGCCAGCGCGCGCGCACACACACACAACUUAUAUGUAUAUGAGCAUACGUGUCCGUGUCUAAUCACUUCGUGCUCAAAUCCACCAACUCCCUCGCGAAGCAAAUCAACUACUCCAGAGCAGACUAAAGCUUCGAAAGGAGAUAAUUCUCUCUUUCAGACUCCAUAAUCUAUGGUUGUUACGUACUGUUUCAUAAUGUAUCGUAUUGUAUUGUAUUGUAUUGUAUUGUAUUGUAUUGUAUUAUGUUGUAUAAAUUCUAUGUUGCUCGGACUCUUCAAGAAUGUCAUCGGGCGCGUGUAGGAUCCUUCAAAAGUAGAGCAUUUUUGGAGGAUCCGACACGAGUGCGGCAGUAUAUUUGGAGAGUCCGAGCAACUUAGGUUGUAUUGUAUGGUAGUAUAUUGUUAUAAUGAAUACAACAUUUGGAUAGAUUGUAUCAUUUUCAGUCGUUACAUAAUCUCGCACAUCAAUAAUUUGAACGAUAGAUAAAUCUACUCGAAAAGUAGGAUACGAAGUCGAGCUACGAUAAAAAGGUAGGAUGAAUGAUCAAAUAUGAUUAUUAAAUAAGGAAACGACGCGAUACCAUCAAAUCGAUGGUCAGAUAAAAUGAGGCUUUUCGUGGUUACCUAAACAUCGAAUCAAACCAUAUUAUACAAUCUCUUUUAAGUAACGAUCAAAACAAACAUGGUAUUGGUACGAAAAAAUGAACUAUAUGUAUUCGUAUCCCUCAAGGAUUUCACAUUUAUCAUAAGAAAAAAUGCACAUAUACAUCAAAUUGUGUGCAUUUAUGUGUUGUAUACUUACUCUGUCUCAAUUUAUGUGGCACUUUUUGCUUCUCGAGAGCCAAACAAUCUAAGUUUGACCGUGAAUUUGAACAUGAAAUUUUCAAACUUUUUGAAUUGAAAUUUAUAUAUUUGUAAACUACGUAAAGGGUACGUUAUAAGUCACAAUUAUAGACAAUUCAAAAUAUUUAAAAAAUACAUGAAAAAAAAUUGAAAACUACGUAAAAAGUACGUAAUAACUCACAAUUAUUGACAAUUCAAAAUAUGUAAAACAUAAAACUACUUAAUAAGUCACAAUUAUUGAUAAUUCAAAACAUUUAAAACACAUGAAAAAUAUUACGGUCAUGAUAGACUUGGUUGAAUCUCGAAAUCUGAAGGGUGACACAUAAACUGUGACAAAGGAAGUAAAUGUGUGCUAAAUCAUCACAAAAUAAUCAACAAAUUAAGCCUCUUGAUCACCAUAUACAUACAUAUACAUAUAUACAUACAUAUAAAUAUACAUACAUAGACAUACAUAUAUACAUAUUCAUAUACACACACAUACAUACAUACCACACAUACAUACAUACAUACUUACAUAUACAUAUACAUAUAUAUACACAUAUACAUAUACAUAUAUAUACUCACCGCAGCAACACCGCCACCGACGAUAAGGUAUUUGAAAGAUUUAUCUGCCAUUGAUGAAAAAUUGUUGAGUUUUUUGUUAAAGAUGAAAAUUUAAUGUGAAAAUGAAAUGAGAGAAGAAAGAGUAUUUAUAGGUUUGGUUUGUUAACUAGUUACUAAAUUUAUAAGCUAAAAAUUAGGCCCCUAUAUAGUUUAAAAAUGACAAAAUAAGUAAAUAGAUUCAGUUAAAUAAAAAUAGAUUCAGUUAAAAUAACUAAAGUAGAAAAUCAUAUUGCAUGAAAAGAAGAGUUUUAUUUGCAUGAAAUUCAAAUUAACUUUGUUCUUUUCGUUUAUAAUAAACGUUGAAGUGAAAAAUAUCAUACAAUAAUAUAUUUGAGAUAUAAUAUUUAUUUAUAUUAUUUAAAUAGAUGUAUCAUUUUUUAACGUUAAUAUAUUGCUACUUUCUUAAUAUUAUUCUUAAUUCUUAUGUAUAUUCUAUUGAUUGAUGUGAGAGACACGUGCAAAACAGGUACACUAAUCUAGUUAAAAUAAAAAUUGGACCCACUAAUUCGGUAUUGUUGUGGGUUGGGUUUAAUUUUAGGGCAUAUGAAAUAAAUUCUAACAGUUUAGAGCUUAAUUACAUAAAAUUCUGACAUUUUGCAUACUUAUUGAAAUCCCGAUUUUGGGUCUGUCAAGAUAUAUAAUAAACUUCUGAUGUAAUUUUUUUGAUUUUGGGACUAUCAAGAUACAUAAUACAUCCAACGAAGAUACAAUUUUUUUCUUUAUAAAGAUACACAAUUAGCUUUCAAUAUAUUUUUUCUAAUUUUGGGUCCGCCAAGAUACAAAAUUAGCUCCCGAUACAUCCAGCGAAGAUAUACAAUUGGUUGAGAUUUUUAUAAUUAUUUUAUAAGAGUGCGGAAUUAUGUAAAUAUGGUAAGUUAGGGUCUAUGUUUAUGUUAUUUUGGCUUAAUUUUAAUGGAUUCGAUUUUUAGUUUUGAUUUUAAGUAAUAUUGGUUGAUUUAAAUUUGGUGACGUGGACCUCUAAUAAGAGGACACACGACAAAAAUAGUUUUGAAAAACCACCGUUAGAAAAAAUGGCACAAAUGAAUCUUUUAUGUAACAGUAGUGGCAUAGAUGAAUCAAACUCUUAACGAAUGACAUAGAUGAGUCAUUUCUGACAGUUCGAUGACAUUUGAGAUUAUUCACUAGUUUUAAAAUUGAAAGAAUACGUAAAUAAACACUUAAAUUUGGUUUCAACUGUCAAGUGAACACUUAAAUUUUUUAAAUAUGUACAUCUAGACACCUUAAUUUGCUCCAUUAUAAGCUGAUGAUUAUACCCCUUAGUUUUAAAAUGACACACACAUAAACAAACUAUAGAACUUGGUCUUAGCUAUCAAAUAAACACUCGAACUUUGAAUAUAUAUAUCUAGGUACGUCAACACGCCUCAACUGUACCAGUUGAACACACUAAUUUACAAACUGAUCAUUUAGACAACACGUCAGCGUCGGAACCUUAUCUUUGGGCAAGGGUCUAUUGUGUGCAACUUUAUCUUGCAUUGCUACAGACGUUUUCACAACUCAAACCUGUGAGCUCCUAGUCACGUAGCGACGACUUUACCAGUUAUGCCAAGUCUCCACUUCACAAUGUGAAGUUCAAAGUCAAACUAUUUAUAAAUGUAGAAAGGUGUUCUUUUGUAACAGACUAAAAAGUAAACAUUGUCACGCGCUACCCCCAUAAUGUGCCCUGCAAUGCGCGAUCCGGAUUAAUCGGAGCUCCAAUGCGGGCACCGAAAACCGGGUGGGAAACCCCCAAAAACAAAAAGUAAACAGUGUCACAUAGUACUCACUGUCUUUGUGCAUUAACCAAAGUGAUAAACUCUGUGUUUUUCAUUCAAUAAGCGUGACAUAAUAUAAAUACAUGCUCAUAUGUCACACUCCUUAAGGUAUGUAUAUAUAUGCCUUAAAGAGUGAUCUUCUGCAACUUAAUUCAGAUGAAGAAACAUCAUAUUUAACCAAUCAACCAGGCACGAAAAACUGUCAGACGGUUACACAACAUAGUAAAUAUCGCGGAAACAGUGAUGUUUUUAGAUCUUUGAGGCGAAGCCGAUGCCCUCCUCUGCCAACUGAUCCAAGGUAGCAGCUGGUUGAACUUUUGCAACUUUAGCAAUUGCCUUGUUCUCUUCAGGUGUUCCACUCUCGAGGAAUGCACCAACGAUCUUUCCAUCUUUGAUCCAGUAUUGUCCGAACUUGUGAGUUGCAGAGCUGGGAUCAGAGUCCCCAAAGAGCACUGUUUCGCCCACAUUAUCACCAUAGAAUUGCCAAGACAAAUCGAAGGCACGGGAGUAGAAGUAUGGAAGGUAGUCAUAUUCGUCAACGGACUUCCCUUGCUCGCUGGCAAAUAUUGCCUGCACCAGCAACAAUGUAGGAAUUAAUAUUUUUUACUUCAUCGAUAAAUAAUGGGAAGUUUAGGAUUCAAACUGCAUUUCACGAGUUCAUUGAAAGAGUAGAGAGCUGUUCUAACUCAUGCAGCAAUAACAAAUAUACAGAAGCAAGGACAUAAACAACCAGUAGGCACGUAGAAUGGAGAGAGUAUUUCAGUAUUUGAACACCCUAAUCUACGUGUGUACUGUGUUUCAACUAUCCAGUUUAUAUCAUGACUCAUUUAGAGCAGAAUCAUAGGUGAUCAGUGAUGAAUAACGUAUUAUAAGAAGGACGACAAUAUAACUCGG
RNAcentral lists this long non-coding RNA (7284 nucleotides) under Capsicum annuum. Its description in RNAcentral is "long non-coding RNA (CANN_LNC015017)". The record is from RNAcentral. Lineage: Eukaryota; Viridiplantae; Streptophyta; Magnoliopsida; Solanales; Solanaceae.